Talaromyces proteolyticus is the source of this 108-nucleotide non-coding RNA. The record is from the annotation of a RefSeq genome assembly. NCBI's taxonomy places the organism in Eukaryota, Fungi, Ascomycota, Eurotiomycetes, Eurotiales, Trichocomaceae.
GCGACGAUGGUCAAGGGGUUACGAUACGGUCCUCCCAUGGCAUAGAUUACAGAAUCUUGCUGCAUAUUGGCAUAGACCGUGACCCGGGUUCGAAUCCCGGUCGUCGCA